AAGCAAACAUUUCUUGAUUUCAUCUCUACCAACUUAUUUAGUUUUGAUCAUUUUAGUGCAGCCAGCAAUGGAUUGUGUAAAACUUGUACUAUUUUGUAUGCUAUAUCCCUUUCUCUGUCAACUUGCUUUCUCGUCAUCGUUACCUCAUUUGUGCCCCAAAGACCAAGCUCUUGCUCUUCUACAAUUCAAGCAAAUGUGUACCAUCAAUCCUAAUGCUUCUGGUGAUUCUAUUCAAUGUUACAAUCCAACAACUCUUUCAUGAAACAACAGCACAGAUUGUUGCUUAUGGAAUGGAGUUCAUUGUGACGAGAUGAAGGGACAAGUAAUUGAGCUUGAUCUCCUUUGCAGCGGACUUCAAGGCAAAUUCCAUUCCAACAGUAGCUUGUUUCAGCUCUCCAGUCUCAAACGGUUUGAUUUGUCUAAUAAUGACUUUUCCGGGUCUCUCAUUCCAACUAAAUUUGGUGAGUUAUCUAGCUUGACGAGUCUUUAUUUGGAGUAUUCAGGUCUUACAGGUGUAAUCCCAGCAGAAAUCUCUCACCUUUCUAAUUUCAAGUUCUUAGUAUAUUGACUAUUGAUCCGUAUGGGCUUAGACUUGGGCCUUACAAUUUUGAACCGCUCCUUGGAUGCAUCCCCAAAGGAAAAAAAUUCGAUACGCUUGAGAAGAGUUCGUACCAAGGGAAUGAUGGAUUACGUGGAUUUCCACUAAGUGAAGAUUGUGGUGGUGACGAUGGGGUACCACAAGCGAUAACUCCAGUUGAGCUGGAUGACGACGAAGAAGAAGAUUCGCCAAUGAUCAGUUGGCAAGCGUUUCUCAUGGGUUAUGGUUGUGGAUUUAUCAGUGUACUCUCCAUAAUAUACAUAAUGUAGUCAACACAAACUCCGGCAUGGUUUUCAAGGAUGGUUGACCAAUUGGAAUACAAAAUUAUUACGAGAAUGCAAAAGCACAAGAAGAGAUAUUAGUGUGAGACCUCCAGGUUCCGAGUCCACUGAGCAGAUGGAACACAAAUACAAGCUUGUAUUUUCAUAGUUUCUGAUUUUGCUACUGCCUUCUUUUACAUCUUUCUUUGACCUAAGAAUCUAUCGGAAACAACCUCCCUACCUUUAACAUAGGGGUAAAGUCUACGUACACACUAUCUUCCGCAAACCCCACUGUGGGAUUACAAUGGGUUUCAUGUCGUUGUUGUUAGUCUCUGAUGUUUCAUGAAGGUGUUUGUUCGCCUAUGAAUAAAGUCAUGAGUUUUCUUCCUUUGUGACUCGAACAAAUUUUAUUUUCAUUUGUGUACAGUAUGUAGAAAUAAAUUCAGCUUAAUUAUUACUUCAAUAUAUAUCCAAUGGCAUAUUCGACUGAUAAACAGAAAUUGGAAAAGAUAUUAGUGUGUAACUUGCAGGUAUUCAACUUAAUCUCUAGCCUUCAUAACAUUACGUUUCAUCCUUAAAGCUCUUAACAUUAAUCCUUCAUUUUUGGAAAUUGCAGGAUUCAAGUCUAAUAUGUCGCCGGUGAUGCAAAUAUAAGCCUUCAUCUUUCAUAGAUUGUGAUUUUUUCCAAAAGUGUUUGUUACUCUAUGAAUAAAGACAUCAAUUUUUUCUUUG
Long non-coding RNA from Capsicum annuum, 1590 nucleotides. RefSeq lists it as uncharacterized. The record is from RefSeq and is a predicted model, not a curated record. The transcript is spliced from 2 exons. Lineage: Eukaryota; Viridiplantae; Streptophyta; Magnoliopsida; Solanales; Solanaceae.